CACGGGGGGAGCAAGCGUUGUUCGGAAUCACUGGGCGUAAAGGGCGUGCAGGCGGUCAGGUAAGUGGGAUGUGAAAUGCCCCGGCUCACCCGGGGACCGGCAUCUCAUACUGCUUGGCUUGAGUACGGGAGAGGAUGUGGGAAUUCCUGGUGUAGCGGUGAAAUGCGUAGAUAUCAGGAGGAACACCGGUGGCGAAGGCGGCAUCCUGGACCAACACUGACGCUGAGUGAGCGAAAGCCAGGGGAGCAAACGGG
Molecule: ribosomal RNA, 254 nt
Filed under: uncultured bacterium
Lineage: Bacteria
Description: partial 16S ribosomal RNA
Rfam family: Bacterial small subunit ribosomal RNA
Source: RNAcentral